AAUUAACUAAAAAAAAAUUAGUUAAUUCAUAUAACAUUAGUUUGUCAAACUAAAAUAAUUAAUUUAUCUAAUAUUUUUUA
RNAcentral lists this transfer RNA (80 nucleotides) under Paradyschiria parvula. RNAcentral's name for it is "tRNA-Asp". The record is from RNAcentral. Lineage: Eukaryota; Metazoa; Arthropoda; Insecta; Diptera; Streblidae.